Coffea eugenioides is the source of this 81-nucleotide small nucleolar RNA. RefSeq annotates it as small nucleolar RNA R21. The record is from RefSeq and is a predicted model, not a curated record. The transcript has a single exon. NCBI's taxonomy places the organism in Eukaryota, Viridiplantae, Streptophyta, Magnoliopsida, Gentianales, Rubiaceae.
GGUCCCUAUGAUGAACUUGACAAGUAAUUAAAAGUAGUGGACUGAUGAUACUCGUUGAUGACAACUUUGUUCUGAGGGAUU